AUACGUUCUCAGGGCGGGGUGAAAGUCCCCACCGGCGGUGAUCCCCCUUUUGGGGGCGAGCCCGCGAGCGCUUCUUGGGGUUUUCUCCAAGAAGGUCAAGCUGAUUGUGGUGUGAUCCCACAGCCGACAGUGACAGUCUGGAUGGAAGAGAAUGGGC
Regulatory RNA element from Corynebacterium matruchotii ATCC 14266, 157 nucleotides. It matches the Rfam family "FMN riboswitch aptamer (RFN element)". Rfam says of the family: The RFN element is a highly conserved domain that is found frequently in the 5'-untranslated regions of prokaryotic mRNAs that encode for flavin mononucleotide (FMN) biosynthesis and transport proteins. The record is from Rfam. NCBI's taxonomy places the organism in Bacteria, Bacillati, Actinomycetota, Actinomycetes, Mycobacteriales, Corynebacteriaceae.